CCUACGGGAGGCAGCAGUGGGGAAUAUUGGACAAUGGGGGCAACCCUGAUCCAGCCAUGCCGCGUGUGUGAAGAGGGCCCUCGGGUUGUAAAGCACUUUCAGUGAGGAAGAACGCCUGGUGGUUAAUACCCAUCAGGAAAGACAUCACUCACAGAAGAAGCACCGGCUAACUCCGUGCCAGCAGCCGCGGUAAUACGGAGGGUGCGAGCGUUAAUCGGAAUUACUGGGCGUAAAGCGCGCGUAGGUGGCUUGAUAAGCCGGUUGUGAAAGCCCCGGGCUCAACCUGGGAACGGCAUCCGGAACUGUCAAGCUAGAGUGCAGGAGAGGAAGGUAGAAUUCCCGGUGUAGCGGUGAAAUGCGUAGAGAUCGGGAGGAAUACCAGUGGCGAAGGCGGCCUUCUGGACUGACACUGACACUGAGGUGCGAAAGCGUGGGUAGCAAACAGGAUUAGAUACCCGAGUAGUC
This 465-nucleotide ribosomal RNA is filed under the name Vreelandella stevensii. RNAcentral's name for it is "partial 16S ribosomal RNA". It matches the Rfam family "Bacterial small subunit ribosomal RNA", at positions 338 to 795 of the family's 1533-position model. Lineage: Bacteria; Pseudomonadati; Pseudomonadota; Gammaproteobacteria; Oceanospirillales; Halomonadaceae. The record is from RNAcentral.